Molecule: ribosomal RNA, 551 nt
Filed under: uncultured archaeon
Lineage: Archaea
Description: bacterial SSU rRNA
Rfam family: Archaeal small subunit ribosomal RNA
Source: RNAcentral
GGGUGCAGCAGGCGCGAAAACUUUACAAUGCGGGAAACCGUGAUAAGGGGACACCGAGUGCCAGCAUCAUAUGCUGGCUGUCCGGGUGUGUAAAAUACACCUGUUAGCAAGGGCCGGGCAAGACCGGUGCCAGCCGCCGCGGUAACACCGGCGGCCCGAGUGGUGAUCGUGAUUAUUGGGUCUAAAGGGUCCGUAGCCGGUUUGGUCAGUCCUCCGGGAAAUCUGACAGCUCAACUGUUAGGCUUUCGGAGGAUACUGCCAGACUUGGAACCGGGAGAGGUAAGAGGUACUACAGGGGUAGGAGUGAAAUCUUGUAAUCCCUGUGGGACCACCUGUGGCGAAGGCGUCUUACCAGAACGGGUUCGACGGUGAGGGACGAAAGCUGGGGGCACGAACCGGAUUAGAUACCCGGGUAGUCCCAGCCGUAAACGAUGCUCGCUAGGUGUCAGGCAUGGCGCGACCGUGUCUGGUGCCGCAGGGAAGCCGUGAAGCGAGCCACCUGGGAAGUACGGCCGCAAGGCUGAAACUUAAAGGAAUUGGCGGGGGAGCAC